UCCAUGCUGAAAAAGGAAGAAAGAAAACACAACGUUUUUUCUUCCUUUCCAGCAUGGAAUAAACCUAUUGUUCCUGUAAAAUGAAUCUCCAGGAUUCAGAAUCUUUAUAACGACUUGAACAUUAACGCGGCAACAUAACAGCUUCCCCCCAUCCCUCUGGCAGCGCAGCUGAGCCUGGGCAUCUGCCCCAGAUGCAGCGCCAGCAAGUGGGCAGCGCAGGGCCUCCUCUCUAAUCUGACCUUCACAGUGAAGAACGGAGCAUGCAGACCCAUGAGUGCCUCCCGUGAAGGGCAGGGAAGCAGAUCCAGUGGAAAAUGCUGCUAAUACCUGGACUUCGUGUUGAACCUCUGGGCUCCCCUUACCCCUGAGUCAUCAACCCCAUUCGCUGUCUUCAGCCAAUGGACAGCUGUCUGCGGGAUUUCAGAGGUGAAGCAUAUGCAGUCUCCACAGCUGGGAGACUCAGGGAUAAACACUGCGGCUUGUCUUUGAGAGAACAGGCGCCUCUCCAG
Lepisosteus oculatus (spotted gar) is the source of this 509-nucleotide long non-coding RNA. RefSeq lists it as uncharacterized. Lineage: Eukaryota; Metazoa; Chordata; Actinopteri; Semionotiformes; Lepisosteidae. The record is from RefSeq and is a predicted model, not a curated record.